RNAcentral lists this ribosomal RNA (402 nucleotides) under uncultured prokaryote. Its description in RNAcentral is "bacterial SSU rRNA". It matches the Rfam family "Bacterial small subunit ribosomal RNA", at positions 355 to 774 of the family's 1533-position model. The record is from RNAcentral.
UAUGGAAUAUUAGAAAUGGACGAAAGUCUGAUCUAGCAACACCGCGUGUGCGAAGAAGGCCUUCGGGUUGUAAAGCACUUUUUGGAAGGAUUAGGAAGGAAUGUACUUCCAGAAUAAGUCUCGGCUAACUACGUGCCAGCAGCCGCGGUAACACGUAGGAGGCAAACGUUAUCCGGAUUUACUGGGCGUAAAGCGCGUGUAGGUGGUUCUGUAAGUAGGGCGUGAAAGCUCCUGGCUCAACUGGGAGGGGCCUUUCUAAACUGCAGAGCUAGAGGAUGGUAGAGGGAGGUGGAAUUCCGGGUGUAGCGGUGGAAUGCGCAGAUAUCCGGAGGAACACCAGUGGCGAAAGCGGCCUCCUGGACCAUUCCUGACACUCAGACGCGAAAGCUAGGGUAGCAAACG